This is a long non-coding RNA of Myxocyprinus asiaticus (Chinese sucker), 3692 nucleotides long. RefSeq lists it as uncharacterized. Lineage: Eukaryota; Metazoa; Chordata; Actinopteri; Cypriniformes; Catostomidae. The transcript has 5 exons. The record is from RefSeq and is a predicted model, not a curated record.
UUUCUCUUUCUCCCUUCUGCUCAUGGUUGCUGCUUUUGUGGGACCGGAAACACCUGGUCCGACCGCGAGGUCGUGAGCCGGCAGGCCUUAACACAUCAAGCCAUGUGUAACUUCCUCAACCAUAACGGAGUCAAACUAACACUGCAAUUUCAUCAUAAUUUCUUCAUUCAACACGGAAGAAACUGAUUGCAACUUCAACACCAUCGGCUCAAGGAACCAUCAAGACUUUCUCCUGAGACUGCAUCCGGGCUCUCUCUCAACAGCCAAGUGCACCAGUCCCUCCAGCAGCAAAGCACCCCCUCAACAUGAUGCUGCCACCCCCAUGCUUCACGGUUGGGAUGGAGAUCUUCAGCUUGCAAGCCUCACCCUUUUCCCUCCAAACAUAAUGAUGGUCUUUAUGGCCAAAAUGUUACAUUUUUGUUUCAUCAGACCAGAGGAAAUAUCUUUGUCCCCAUGUGCACUUGCAAACUGUAGUUAUGGCGGUUUUGGAGCAUUGGCUUCUUCCUGAAAGGCUGCUCAGCAAGCUUAUGUCGAUAUAGGACUCGAUUUACUGUAGAUAUAGAUACUUGUCUACCUGUUUCCUCUGGCAUCUUCACAAGGUCCUUUGCUGUUGUUCUGGGACUGAUUUGCACUUUUUGCACCAAACUAUGUUCAUCUCUAGGAGAAAGAAUGCAUCUCCUUCCUGAGUGGCAUGAUGGCUGCGUUGUCCCAUGGUGUUUAUACUUGCAUACUAUUUUUUUGUACAGAUGAACAUGGUACCUUCAGGCAUUUGGAAAUUGCUCCCAAGGAUGAACCAGACAUGUUGAGGUCCACAAUUUUUUUUUCUGAGGUCUUGGCUGAUUUCUUUUGAUUUUCCCAUGAUGUCAAGCAAAGAGGCACUGAGUUUGAAGGUGUUCUUGAGGAAAUGGAUUCUUGUAGAAAUGCCUCCACAGAGAGAGAGUGUGGGUCUCCCACUUAAUGAAAAUGGUUCAAGCCUGAUGCAUGAAAAAACCCACACCUUUGACUCUCACUGGCUGCUGAGGAUAAGAUGAAAGAAAAAUUAAGCAACUGUGCUAUAUGAAGACCAGGUAUGAAUCCAGCUCAGAUGGAAGGUGUCCAAGCUGCUAUUGUAAAUGAGAUCUACAGCUGAAGAAUACAGAUGAAGAACAUCCUGCAGACAAAAUCCACCUCUGUACCACAGAGAGUGAAAGAGGGAGAAAGGAGCACAGAGGAAAUUGGCUGCUUUUAGAUGUUUUUGGAGGAAAUGCACCUUGACCAUGUCAGCCUGUCCAGUAUAAUGUUACUAACUUAUUGCCAAAACCCCUGAUGUCUAAAUCCCAUUGGGAGGUAGUUUAAUUUUGUAUGCAAACAUGUCCUAGUUCAUAUCAUGUAUCUCAUUUAGCCAAUGAGUCCUUUCAUUUUCUCAGACAAACCAGUCAAUAAUUCAAAUAAAUACACUCACAAAUGUGAACAGGGACAGACAGCAUAUCCCAUUGUUAGACAUUACCACUGGAAUUUCCUUUGAACAGUACUGUAGCAAAGUCAUAUGAAAUUGCUCUGAUUUGGGAACAGGAAAUAGAUCCACUCCACAAGACAAAAAUUACACUAAAAUAACUGUCUCCUGAGACGGAUCAUUUCCUGAUGCCACUCUUUGAUCUUCCCUUGAUCCUUGAUGCCAUCCUCCUCUGUCCUUAAUUAAAUCUCUUGAUGAAAGCAGUUUUCUUUCCUAUGUUUCAUUUAAACAGGAGGUAUCGGAGGGACACAUCUAAGGGCUCUGCCCCUUGUUUUAAUAAAAAAAAAGGCUUUAGUUUCUGUCAUUGCCUUUAACCAUGAUUUGCCACUUGCUAGUUGGUUGCAAGUGGUAUUAGGUGGAGGGACAUUCUUAUUCUAAAGAGCAUCUAAUUGGACAAAAAUCUGUGUACUUCUACAAUUAUCAAUAUUUUUGGUCUGUUUCCCUGUAAGACUGUACAUUUUAAUGGAGUUUAAUUUACAAAGUUCGGGAGGAGCAAGUUAAUUUAAUCUGACCAAUCACACUGCCAGAGCAAGCGUAUUUAAACAGGUAAUUACCUCUACGUGGCAUCGAGCAUUCCGGCAUUUGGCCCCACCCAUUUGCCCAUGAACAGACCCGAGCGAGAGACUCGGAUCAUUGGAUACUACUUCACUAAAUGGGCAUUUGCCCUCAUCAGAACAGCUCUUUCGACUAAAUAAUCUUGUUAUUCAACAGAAGCUGCCACAGCAGCUCUUUUGUUUUUGCUGCUUUUGACCACUACCACUUUAAGUGCUAUGUUUACUCUGUCUUUCUUUUUAAUUUCCAUUUGCCAAAGCAGAUCAUAGCGUGAAGCUGCUUCCACAAAUUGGCUGCUUCAGCGCUGUAUAUAUGUCAAACACCUCCCAAUGACGGUUUACACGUUCUCUGAUCUAAACUUUCCACCUGGAGCAUUCCAUCGCGUGAGCCUGCCUCUGCGAAUGAGCGUGGCUCCAUCUUCAUGCCCUUUGAGCUCCAUUACAGCCCAGCAGCAUCCACUCUGACCAUGCCACAGCUCACUACAGCUAUAUACAGCUUCUGGCCGAACAGACACAAGCUGAAUUCGGCUCCACAAGAGGCGGGUCGCGCACCGUGUCACAACUUGUUCAUGAAUCAUUCGGCAAACAUGUCUCACCUCCACACAACAUUCGAGCUCGCCUUGCCGCGCAGCCCUGAUAACCAUGAAGCAAGCACUUCUACAAUCUUCUAUUCAUCUCUAGACCAUAACAUGACUUUCUCUCCUCCCGCCCAGGACAAACUAUCCAUGGGCCACUGGAAUGGAUUCCCGCAUGAGGCUGCCUCCGCUGGAGAACCCUGCUCCAGACCCAUUACCCUCUUCACUUUAUCCCCCUCCUUUAUAAUAUUGUAAUCUACCCCACUCUGGAACCGUUCACUGUGUGAGGCUGCCUCCGCAAGCGAACACGGUCCCGAAUCCUUUUUCAUUCUCGCCUCACCAUUCAGUUCCGAUAACCACAAAGCAAGCAUACAAACUUCUACUCAUCUCUAAACUAUAGCAUGACUUUCUCUCCACCCGCCCAGGACAAACGUUCACGCAGUAGUGCCAAAACCCGGGAGGGAGGAGGGAAGCGCUGUCGCGGAGUCCUCGCUGCUGCCAUCCGCCAGGGGAGCAGCUGCGGCUGUCUGCCUGGAUACGGAGGGGUCACUGCUGACCGCCAUGGGCCGGAGGACUCGCUGCCAUCCGCCGGGUGAGGAGCGAGCUGGCGUAUGCCAGAGGGAGGAGGAGCAGUUGAGGACCGGGCGACAGCGCGUCCGGGAGCUAGCGAGCAAGUUCUUCUCUCUCUCUCCUUUCUCUCUCUUUGUUUGUCUCCGCUCACAUUUUCCCUCUCAGUGGACAACCAGCUAACAGAACAGACGGAAGGGCAGCGUCUCUCCCCCCAGAGAUGGGGGGGAUGUUAGUCAGACCGGUGGUGACACGGCCUGAAUUAGGCGGGGGAGGAGUGUGAUGAGGAGGAGGCCGGGCCGUGAUGGAGCAUGGCUGAUGCUGAAUCAGCUGAUCAGUGGAUCAGCGGGAGAGCGAGAUAAGGGGCAAGCGGAGACACCAGUUCGGGAGAGAGAGAGACACCAUGCUGUGUGUGUUCGUCUUAUGUUUUAUGUUGUUUUACAGUAAGUUUAUGUUUGACAUUAAAAGUUAUGUUUACUGUUCAGCCAGUUCCCGCCUCCUCCUUGC